Molecule: transfer RNA, 77 nt
Filed under: Rickettsiales bacterium
Lineage: Bacteria; Pseudomonadati; Pseudomonadota; Alphaproteobacteria; Rickettsiales
Description: tRNA-Arg
Rfam family: tRNA
About the family: Transfer RNA (tRNA) molecules are approximately 80 nucleotides in length.
Source: RNAcentral
GCGUCCGUAGCUCAGCUGGAUAGAGCAACAGCCUUCUAAGCUGUGGGUCAGUGGUUCGAAUCCACUCGGACGCACCA